AUCCAGUCGACGAGUCCCGAAUAGGACGAAACUCGUGUUCUGGAU
This is a non-coding RNA of Schistosoma haematobium, 45 nucleotides long. NCBI's taxonomy places the organism in Eukaryota, Metazoa, Platyhelminthes, Trematoda, Strigeidida, Schistosomatidae. The record is from Rfam.